RNAcentral lists this ribosomal RNA (497 nucleotides) under uncultured bacterium. Its description in RNAcentral is "partial 16S ribosomal RNA". It matches the Rfam family "Bacterial small subunit ribosomal RNA", at positions 28 to 507 of the family's 1533-position model. The record is from RNAcentral.
GAUGAACGCUGGCGGCGUGCCUAAUACAUGCAAGUCGAGCGAACGGACGAGAAGCUUGCUUUUCUGAUGUUAGCGGCGGACGGGUGAGUAACACGUGGAUAACCUACCUAUAAGACUGGGAUAACUUCGGGAAACCGGAGCUAAUACCGGAUAAUAUUUUGAACCGCAUGGUUCAAAAGUGAAAGACGGUCUUGCUGUCACUUAUAGAUGGAUCCGCGCUGCAUUAGCUAGUUGGUAAGGUAACGGCUUACCAAGGCAACGAUGCAUAGCCGACCUGAGAGGGUGAUCGGCCACCCUGGACCUGGACCACGCUCCCGGCUCCUACGGGAGGCAGCAGUAGGGAAUCUUCCGCAAUGGGCGAAAGCCUGACGGAGCAACGCCGCGUGAGUGAUGAAGGUCUUCGGAUCGUAAAACUCUGUUAUUAGGGAAGAACAUAUGUGUAAGUAACUGUGCACAUCUUGACGGUACCUAAUCAGAAAGCCACGGCUAACUACGUG